UACAGAGGUCUCGAGCGUUGUUCGGAUUUACUGGGCGUAAAGGGUGCGUAGGCGGUGGCGUAAGUCGGUUGUGAAAUUUCGGGGCUCAACCUCGAAACUGCACCCGAUACUGCGUCGCUUGAGGACUGUAGAGGAGUGUGGAAUUCACGGUGUAGCAGUGAAAUGCGUAGAUAUCGUGAGGAAGACCAGUGGCGAAGGCGACACUCUGGGCAGUUCCUUACGCUGAGGCACGAAGGCCAGGGGAGCAAACGGG
RNAcentral lists this ribosomal RNA (253 nucleotides) under uncultured bacterium. Its description in RNAcentral is "partial 16S ribosomal RNA". It matches the Rfam family "Bacterial small subunit ribosomal RNA", at positions 524 to 776 of the family's 1533-position model. The record is from RNAcentral.